Molecule: ribosomal RNA, 390 nt
Filed under: uncultured bacterium
Lineage: Bacteria
Description: partial 16S ribosomal RNA
Rfam family: Bacterial small subunit ribosomal RNA
Source: RNAcentral
UAUUGAAGAACUUUNCCNGNCCUUGACAUCCUGGGAACCCUCCCGAAAAGGAGGGGUGCCUUGGGGGACCCCAGUGACAGGUGCCGCAUGGGUGUCGUCAGCUCGUGUGGUGAGAUGUUCGGUUAAGUCCGACAACGAGCCCACCCCUCCCCAUUAGUCCCUAGCAAUUNGGUGGNGCACUUUAGGGGGACNCCGUAUGAAACUGGGAGGAAGGGGGGGAGGAGGUAAAUUCACCANGGCCCUUACGCCCGGGGCGCCACACGUGUUCCAAUGGCCGGUCCAGGGGGCAGCCACCUCGGGAGAGGGAGCAAAUCCAGAAAGCCGGUCCCAGUUCGGAUUGCAGUCUGCAACUCGACUGCAUGAAGUNGGAAUCGCUAGUAAUCGCAGNUC